CCUACGGGAGGCAGCAGUGAGGAAUAUUGGUCAAUGGGCGUAAGCCUGAACCAGCCAAGUCGCGUGAGGGAUGAAGGUUCUAUGGAUCGUAAACCUCUUUUAUCAGGGAAUAAAGUGUGGGACGUGUCCUAUUUUGUAUGUACCUUAUGAAUAAGGAUCGGCUAACUCCGUGCCAGCAGCCGCGGUAAUACGGAGGAUCCGAGCGUUAUCCGGAUUUAUUGGGUUUAAAGGGUGCGUAGGCGGCCUCUUAAGUCAGCGGUGAAAGUUUGUGGCUCAACCCUAGAAUUGCCGUUGAAACUGGGGGGCUUGAGUAUGUGUGAGGCAGGCGGAAUGCGUGGUGUAGCGGUGAAAUGCUUAGAUAUCACGCGGAACCCCGAUUGCGAAGGCAGCCUGCCAAGCCAUGACUGACGCUGAUGCACGAAAGCGUGGGGAUCAAACAGGAUUAGAUACCCGGGUAGUC
Molecule: ribosomal RNA, 460 nt
Filed under: uncultured bacterium
Lineage: Bacteria
Description: partial 16S ribosomal RNA
Rfam family: Bacterial small subunit ribosomal RNA
Source: RNAcentral